Molecule: ribosomal RNA, 1537 nt
Filed under: uncultured Escherichia sp.
Lineage: Bacteria; Pseudomonadati; Pseudomonadota; Gammaproteobacteria; Enterobacterales; Enterobacteriaceae
Description: 16S ribosomal RNA
Rfam family: Bacterial small subunit ribosomal RNA
Source: RNAcentral
UUAGAGUUUGAUAGUGGCUCAGAUUGAACGCUGGCGGCAGGCCUAACACAUGCAAGUCGAACGGUAACAGGAAGCAGCUUGCUGCUUCGCUGACGAGUGGCGGACGGGUGAGUAAUGUCUGGGAAACUGCCUGAUGGAGGGGGAUAACUACUGGAAACGGUAGCUAAUACCGCAUAACGUCGCAAGACCAAAGAGGGGGACCUUAGGGCCUCUUGCCAUCGGAUGUGCCCAGAUGGGAUUAGCUAGUAGGUGGGGUAACGGCUCACCUAGGCGACGAUCCCUAGCUGGUCUGAGAGGAUGACCAGCCACACUGGAACUGAGACACGGUCCAGACUCCUACGGGAGGCAGCAGUGGGGAAUAUUGCACAAUGGGCGCAAGCCUGAUGCAGCCAUGCCGCGUGUAUGAAGAAGGCCUUCGGGUUGUAAAGUACUUUCAGCGGGGAGGAAGGGAGUAAAGUUAAUACCUUUGCUCAUUGACGUUACCCGCAGAAGAAGCACCGGCUAACUCCGUGCCAGCAGCCGCGGUAAUACGGAGGGUGCAAGCGUUAAUCGGAAUUACUGGGCGUAAAGCGCACGCAGGCGGUUUGUUAAGUCAGAUGUGAAAUCCCCGGGCUCAACCUGGGAACUGCAUCUGAUACUGGCAAGCUUGAGUCUCGUAGAGGGGGGUAGAAUUCCAGGUGUAGCGGUGAAAUGCGUAGAGAUCUGGAGGAAUACCGGUGGCGAAGGCGGCCCCCUGGACGAAGACUGACGCUCAGGUGCGAAAGCGUGGGGAGCAAACAGGAUUAGAUACCCUGGUAGUCCACGCCGUAAACGAUGUCGACUUGGAGGUUGUGCCCUUGAGGCGUGGCUUCCGGAGCUAACGCGUUAAGUCGACCGCCUGGGGAGUACGGCCGCAAGGUUAAAACUCAAAUGAAUUGACGGGGGCCCGCACAAGCGGUGGAGCAUGUGGUUUAAUUCGAUGCAACGCGAAGAACCUUACCUGGUCUUGACAUCCACGGAAGUUUUCAGAGAUGAGAAUGUGCCUUCGGGAACCGUGAGACAGGUGCUGCAUGGCUGUCGUCAGCUCGUGUUGUGAAAUGUUGGGUUAAGUCCCGCAACGAGCGCAACCCUUAUCCUUUGUUGCCAGCGGUCCGGCCGGGAACUCAAAGGAGACUGCCAGUGAUAAACUGGAGGAAGGUGGGGAUGACGUCAAGUCAUCAUGGCCCUUACGACCAGGGCUACACACGUGCUACAAUGGCGCAUACAAAGAGAAGCGACCUCGCGAGAGCAAGCGGACCUCAUAAAGUGCGUCGUAGUCCGGAUUGGAGUCUGCAACUCGACUCCAUGAAGUCGGAAUCGCUAGUAAUCGUGGAUCAGAAUGCCACGGUGAAUACGUUCCCGGGCCUUGUACACACCGCCCGUCACACCAUGGGAGUGGGUUGCAAAAGAAGUAGGUAGCUUAACCUUCGGGAGGGCGCUUACCACUUUGUGAUUCAUGACUGGGGUGAAGUCGUAACAAGGUAACCGUAGGGGAACCUGCGGUUGGAUCACCUCCUUU